AGAGUUUGAUCCUGGCUCAGAACGAACGCUGGCGGCGUGGCUAAGGCAUGCAAGUCGAGCGAACCAAUUUUGAGGGUAACUGAGAGAUUGGUUAGCGGCGGACGGGUGAGGAAUACAUGGGUAACGUGCCCCGGACUCAGGGAUAGCGUUUUGAAAAGAACGGUAAUACCUGAUGACCCCGUAGGAUCGCAUGAUCCAGCGGGCAAAGUUCCGGCGGUCUGGGAGCGGCUCAUGUCCUAUCAGCUAGUUGGCGGGGUAACGGCCCACCAAGGCUGCAACGGGUACCGGGCGUGAGAGCGCGACCCGGCACAUCGGAACUGAGAUACGGUCCGGACACCUACGGGUGGCUGCAGCAACGAAUAUUCCGCAAUGGACGAAAGUCUGACGGAGCGACGCCGCGUGCAGGAUGAAGUCCCUCGGGAUGUAAACUGCUGUCAGGGGUUAGGAAAUUUGACCAGCCCCAGAGGAAGCCACGGCUAACUCCGUGCCAGCAGCCGCGGUAAUACGGAGGUGGCAAGCGUUGUUCGGAAUUACUGGGCUUAAAGCGCGUGUAGGCGGGACGGAAAGUGUCGGGUGAAAGCCCUUGGCUCAACCAAGGAACUGCUUAGCAUACUUCCGUUCUUGAGGUAGGUAGAGGUCGCUAGAACGACGGGUGGAGCGGUGAAAUGCGUAGAUAUCCGUUGGAACGCCGGUGGCGAAAGCGGGCGACUGGACCUAUCCUGACGCUGAGACGCGAAAGCGUGGGGAGCAAACAGGAUUAGAUACCCUGGUAGUCC
RNAcentral lists this ribosomal RNA (776 nucleotides) under uncultured bacterium. RNAcentral describes it as "bacterial SSU rRNA". It matches the Rfam family "Bacterial small subunit ribosomal RNA", at positions 8 to 796 of the family's 1533-position model. The record is from RNAcentral.